Long non-coding RNA from Ipomoea triloba (trilobed morning glory), 1129 nucleotides. RefSeq lists it as uncharacterized. The record is from RefSeq and is a predicted model, not a curated record. The transcript is spliced from 3 exons. NCBI's taxonomy places the organism in Eukaryota, Viridiplantae, Streptophyta, Magnoliopsida, Solanales, Convolvulaceae.
GUUUCUUCCAAAUCUCCCAGAAUUGGAGUCUUUGCAUGAACCCUAACCGGAGCUUUAUUUGCAAUAACAUUUGAUGUAAAAAAUUCUGGGCCAAUGAUCAGUCUCAGGCAUUGGCUUCAUGUGCGUGUUAAGGCCUGUUGCGACUUCUUGCUCUAACACUCGUGAAUUCUUCAUUGUCACCCUAACAUCUUCUCCACUCAACCUCAGAAAAUGAUCUAUAUCUCUUAUGGCAGAAACUCCCUCUUGGUGAACUGCUAAUAAUACUAUAAAGAUGAGAAGCAUAAAUGCAUGACGUGUAGUAAAAUUCAUGGUUUUUGUGGAUUUAAGAGGAACAGGGAGGAGGAACUUGCUUGCCUUAGAGCAAAGAAAUACUAAAGCAGUUUCUGUGAUUCUAAGGCAGUGUUUCUGUGAUCCAUAGCUGUAGAUAUAAGCUCUGUGACUUAUAAGAUUUGGUGGGGCAAUAAAAAGUUUAAACCAGGGAGGGAUGGAAUCCCUAGGUUGGGUUUUAGAUUCACCCAAUGAUUCCACUACUCUAAAUUAAGAGUUACAGAAUCCAAGUAGGAUAAUAAAUGCCUUUGGAACACCAUCCUUGAGAAGCUAAGCAUCUUUUUCACUUGCUUUCCCUGCAUCUCUAUCAUUUGCUCUGCUUUUGUCUUCUGAGCAAAUACCACUUUAAUGUCUUUGACUGCCAGCUAAGCUGCCACGCUACAAAUCUUAUGUGACUCAUGUUAUGGAAUGUGGCAACUUAUAUCAUGUACCCCAGUCUAUUUGCAAGGGUUUCUUAGUUGUUAAGGAAUGAAAGGAAAGAAGAGGCCGAGGAGCUAAACUGCCAAGACUGGUACUGGGUAAGCAGUCAUAAAAGCAAAAUGUGAUGAAAAAGGAAUAGGGGAAUAUAAAAUCCCCACCUAAAAAAUCCAAACACUUGCUUUAUACCUCCAAGAAAUCAUACUUUAGGAUUGCAAGCUCUCUUCUCAAUACAACAAAAUAGCAUUCCUGAGUUCUUGUGCUAAAUGUGUUUCUUUAUGCUUUUCCUUCUUUGCUCUUUAAUAUUGAUAAAUCAUAUGCUAGUUGGAACAUACUAAAGUGCUUCUGAUUCUUUAUUCAAACUAUGUUAUGAGAUUGUAUGCAA